GACGAACGCUGGCGGCGUGCUUAACACAUGCAAGUCGAACGGAAAGGCCCUGCUUUUGUGGGGUGCUCGAGUGGCGAACGGGUGAGUAACACGUGAGUAACCUGCCCUUGACUUUGGGAUAACUUCAGGAAACUGGGGCUAAUACCGGAUAGGAGCUCCUGCUGCAUGGUGGGGGUUGGAAAGUUUCGGCGGUUGGGGAUGGACUCGCGGCUUAUCAGCUUGUUGGUGGGGUAGUGGCUUACCAAGGCUUUGACGGGUAGCCGGCCUGAGAGGGUGACCGGCCAAUUGGGGAGUGAGAGAGGGCCCAGACUCCAGGGGGAGGAAAGGGGGGGAAUUUUUGAAAAGGGGGGGGGAGCGGGAGGCGAAACCGCCGCGGGGGGAAGAAGGGCUUGGGGUUGGAAACCCGCUUGCGCCUGAAAAAAGGGGGGAGGGAGGGAAAGGGAUAAAGAAGCACCGGAAAACUAGGGG
Molecule: ribosomal RNA, 468 nt
Filed under: uncultured bacterium
Lineage: Bacteria
Description: partial 16S ribosomal RNA
Rfam family: Bacterial small subunit ribosomal RNA
Source: RNAcentral